UGGCGGACGGGUGAGUAACGCGUGGGUAACCUGCCUCAUACAGGGGGAUAACAGUUAGAAAUGACUGCUAAUACCGCAUAAGACCACAGUACCGCAUGGUACAGGGGUAAAAACUCCGGUGGUAUGAGAUGGACCCGCGUCUGAUUAGGUAGUUGGUGGGGUAACGGCCUACCAAGCCAACGAUCAGUAGCCGACCUGAGAGGGUGACCGGCCACAUUGGGACUGAGACACGGCCCAG
RNAcentral lists this ribosomal RNA (238 nucleotides) under uncultured bacterium. RNAcentral's name for it is "partial 16S ribosomal RNA". It matches the Rfam family "Bacterial small subunit ribosomal RNA", at positions 96 to 334 of the family's 1533-position model. The record is from RNAcentral.